UACGUAGGGUGCAAGCGUUGUCCGGAAUUAUUGGGCGUAAAGAGCUCGUAGGCGGUCUGUCGCGUCUGCUGUGAAAACUCGGGGCUUAACCCCGGGCCUGCAGUGGGUACGGGCAGACUAGAGUGCGGUAGGGGAGACUGGAAUUCCUGGUGUAGCGGUGAAAUGCGCAGAUAUCAGGAGGAACACCGGUGGCGAAGGCGGGUCUCUGGGCCGUAACUGACGCUGAGGAGCGAAAGCGUGGGUAGCAAACAGG
RNAcentral lists this ribosomal RNA (253 nucleotides) under uncultured bacterium. RNAcentral describes it as "partial 16S ribosomal RNA". It matches the Rfam family "Bacterial small subunit ribosomal RNA", at positions 524 to 776 of the family's 1533-position model. The record is from RNAcentral.